This is a small nucleolar RNA of Beta vulgaris subsp. vulgaris (sugar beet), 120 nucleotides long. The record is from Rfam. NCBI's taxonomy places the organism in Eukaryota, Viridiplantae, Streptophyta, Magnoliopsida, Caryophyllales, Amaranthaceae.
AUCCCAGGUAAAAGUUUCUGUUUAUAUCUGAUUCAUGGGGUCCAAUAGAGUUAUAGGGAGUUCCCUGAUGGCACCUUUUUAUGUUUGAGGUGUGUUUAUAUAGUAACAUUCCGGACAUUC